RNAcentral lists this ribosomal RNA (1217 nucleotides) under metagenome. RNAcentral's name for it is "bacterial SSU rRNA". It matches the Rfam family "Bacterial small subunit ribosomal RNA", at positions 189 to 1434 of the family's 1533-position model. The record is from RNAcentral.
UCGCGGAGAAGGGUAAAGAUUUAUCGGUAUCGGAGGAGCCUGCGGCCUAUCAGCUUGUUGGUGGGGUAAUGGCCUACCAAGGCAACGACGGGUAGCUGAUGUGAGAGCAUGAUCAGCCAGAAUGGGACUGAGACACGGCCCAUACUCCUACGGGAGGCAGCAGUAAAGAAUCUUCCGCAAUGGGCGAAAGCCUGACGGAGCGACACCGCGUGGGGGACGACGUCCUAACGGAUGUAAACCCCUUUUGUGUGGGAGCAAAUUUUUGAGUUGACCACACGAAUAAGCACCGGCUAAUCACAUGCCAGCAGCCGCGGUAAUACGUGAGGUGCAAGCGUUAUCCGGAAUCACUGGGCGUAAAGCGUCCGCAGCCGGAAACUUAAGUCCGAAGUAAAAUUGUCUCGCCUAGCGGGGCAAGCGUUUCGGAAACUGAUUUUCUAGAGUCCGAUAGAGGUAAGCGGAAUUCCCGUUGUAGGGGUAAAAUCCGUAGAUAACGGGAGGAACACCAAAUGCGAAGGCAGCUUACUGGAUCGGUACUGACGGUCAGGGACGAAAGCGUGGGGAGCGAACGGGAUUAGAUACCCCGGUAGUCCACGCCCUAAACGUUGGAUGCUCGGUUUGUGAGGGAUUCGACCCCCUUACGAGCCCAAGCUAACGCGUUAAGCAUCCCGCCUGUAGAGUACGGUCGCAAGACUAAAAUAUAAAGGAAUAGACGGGGACCCGCACAAGCGGUGGAGCAUCGGGUUUAAUUCGAUAAUAAGCGAGGAACCUUACCAGGGUUUGACAUCCCGAGAAUCUGCCAGAAAUGGUGGAGUGCCUUUUAGGAACUCGGUGACAGGUGCUGCAUGGUCGUCGUCAGCUCGUGCCUUGAGGUGUUCGGUUAAGUCCGUAAACGAGCGCAACCCUCGCCGUAUGUUAAAUUUUCAUACGGGACUGCCUCGCCAAACGAGGAGGAAGGUGAGGAUGACGUCAGAUCAGCAUGGCCCUUAUACUCUGGGCGACACCGGUGCUACAAUGGUCGGUACAAAGGGUAGCCAACCCGCAAGGGGGAGCCAAUCCUCAUAAGCCGACCUCAGUUCGAAUUGGAGGCUGCAACUCGCCUCCAUGAAGUUGGAAUCGCUAGUAACCGUAUAUCAGCCAUGAUACGGUGAAUGUGUUCCCGGGUCUUGUACUCACCGCCCGUCAAGCCAUGAAAGGAAGGGGCACCCGAAGGCUCUCAC